ACUUAGAGCUGGCUGCAGGGAGAAAGGAUGGAGCCCCAUGAAGAGAGAAGCGGAGACGAGAGACAGAGAAGUUUCAUGUGGCUCUGAGGCCCAGCCAUUUCCUGCUGUCCUGUGUUUCAUCAUCCUGCUGCCUUCUGGAUUCUGUGAGCGAAGAGAGCCUCUUUGGGCCCCAGCAAUGUGGAGUUUGGUUUCUAUCACUGACAACGGAUUUAUGGCUUAGAGGAAGAAACAGCUUGGGGGCUUCUGCACCUUGUCCAAGGUCCCGCAGAGCAGAGCAGAGCAGAGCAGAGCAGAGUUGGAAUUGGAAUUCUGGUGCUCGGUGCCAGCAUCGGAAGCUACUCAGGAAAGAGCCACGAGGUGCGGACGAGGGCAAAGAAAUGAGGAGACAGGUGGGAGGCUACAGAUUGCAGCUGCUGGUGACGUAGCAUCCUGGCACCCCCACUAUAUUUUCAUCUUGGAUGGUGC
Long non-coding RNA from Octodon degus (degu), 465 nucleotides. RefSeq lists it as uncharacterized. The transcript has 3 exons. NCBI's taxonomy places the organism in Eukaryota, Metazoa, Chordata, Mammalia, Rodentia, Octodontidae. The record is from RefSeq and is a predicted model, not a curated record.